This is a long non-coding RNA of Oncorhynchus gorbuscha (pink salmon), 729 nucleotides long. RefSeq lists it as uncharacterized. Lineage: Eukaryota; Metazoa; Chordata; Actinopteri; Salmoniformes; Salmonidae. The record is from RefSeq and is a predicted model, not a curated record. The transcript has 3 exons.
UCUACGCACCAGUUCUUACUUGCUUGACUAUUCAAUAUUUGACAAGAUAAUUGACUCUUUUUUUUACAUUUAGGCAAAUAGAACCAACAGCCCUGAAUGGAAUUGUUUGCAUAGAACGAUGCUGAAACCAUGUUCCCGAACUUUGCAUGGGGCGCGGCAACAUUCCCUUAUCAAAUCGAGGGACACAUUCAAUAACCCUGCGGUCUACAUCACAGAAAAUGGCUUCUCCCAGGUGGGGCCAGUGGACAUGGAAGACAUCCAGCACUGUGGGUUUUACCAGGACAUCAUCCAGAUCUCAGAGAGGAUGUUGUUGACGUGCUAGUUUAAUUCACCGGGUCCUUCCUGGAUAACUUUGAAUGGGCCGACAGUUUCGCUUUGUCCUGUUCCACAUGGACUUUUCUUGACCAGAGUGACCGUGGACCGCGUACCACUCUGGAAGAGGGUACUCCGGGAUCAUCUCCAAGUACAGAUCUUAGACCAGGACAAAUAACUAAACAGCCAAUGGGCACAGAGAAAAUCAUCCAAAUCAGCCAAUAAAAGACAUUUUUUGCUCAAUGUUCUGUUCUGAUCAACUACAACCAAGCUUGGGCCAUUUUGAUUUGCCAUUUUGAUUUGAAGCCCAUCUGAAACACAUUAUAGUUGUGAAGCCUUUAAGACGUUCCUUCUCACCACUUUUCUCUGUCAACCCUGAAAAUGUUUUGUAAAAGAGUGCGAAGCUCAUUCGGCUCC